RNAcentral lists this ribosomal RNA (253 nucleotides) under uncultured bacterium. RNAcentral's name for it is "partial 16S ribosomal RNA". It matches the Rfam family "Bacterial small subunit ribosomal RNA", at positions 524 to 776 of the family's 1533-position model. The record is from RNAcentral.
UACGUAGGGGGCAAGCGUUGUCCGGAUUUAAUGGGCGUAAAGAGCGUGUAGGCGGCCAAGCAGGUCCGUUGUGAAAACUGGAGGCUCAACCUCCAGACGUCGACGGAAACCGUGUGGCUAGAGUCCGGAAGAGGAGAGUGGAAUUCCUGGUGUAGCGGUGAAAUGCGCAGAUAUCAGGAAGAACACCAAUGGCGAAGGCAGCUCUCUGGGACGGUACUGACGCUGAGACGCGAAAGCGUGGGGAGCGAACAGG